GCUUAGAAGUUAACCAAGGUAGUAGCCCCCAGCCCACUGCCCGCCAGAACAUUACAAGUGAAAAACUUUAAACUCAAAGGACUUGACGGUGUUCCACCCACACUAGAGGAGCCUGUCCUAUAAUCGAUAACCCACGCUAUACCCCACCUGCUCUUGCACAAAUCAGCCUAUAUACCGCCGCCCUCAGCCCACCUUACAAAAGCCCCAACAGUGGGCUAAACAACCAGCCCGUUAAAACGUCAGGUCAAGGUGUAGCUAACGAGCAGGAAAAGAUGGGCUACAUUUUCUGAUCACAGACCAUCAACCCACAGCAACAUGAAACAUUCGCCACCAAGGCGGAUUUAGCAGUAAGCUGGACAAGACCUGCCCAACUGAACACCGCUCUGGAACGCGC
RNAcentral lists this ribosomal RNA (394 nucleotides) under Hemidactylus angulatus. RNAcentral's name for it is "partial 12S ribosomal RNA". It matches the Rfam family "Bacterial small subunit ribosomal RNA", at positions 794 to 1384 of the family's 1533-position model. The record is from RNAcentral. Lineage: Eukaryota; Metazoa; Chordata; Lepidosauria; Squamata; Gekkonidae.